AUCAGCUAGUUGGUGAGGUAACGGCUCACCAAGGCGUCGACGGGUAGCCGGCCUGAGAGGGUGACCGGCCACACUGGGACUGAGACACGGCCCAGAUUCCUACGGGAGGCAGCAGUGGGGAAUAUUGCACAAUGGGCGAAAGCCUGAUGCAGCAACGCCGCGUGAGGGACGACGGCCUUCGGGUUGUAAACCUCUUUUAGCAGGGAAGAAGCGAAAGUGACGGUACCUGCAGAAAAAGCACCGGCUAACUACGUGCCAGCAGCCGCGGUAAUACGUAGGGUGCAAGCGUUAUCCGGAAUUAUUGGGCGUAAAGAGCUCGUAGGCGGUCUGUCGCGUCUGCUGUGACAACUGGGGGCUCAACCCCCAGCCUGCAGUGGGUACGGGCAGACUAGAGUGCGGUAGGGGAGAUUGGAAUUCCUGGUGUAGCGGUGGAAUGCGCAGAUAUCAGGAGGAACACCGAUGGCGAAGGCAGAUCUCUGGGCCGUAACUGACGCUGAGGAGCGAAAGGGUGGGGAGCAAACAGGCUUAGAUACCCUGGUAGUCCACCCCGUAAACGUUGGGAACUAGUUGUGGGGUCCAUUCCACGGAUUCCGUGACGCAGCUAACGCAUUAAGUUCCCCGCCUGGGGAGUACGGCCGCAAGGCUAAAACUCAAAGGAAUUGACGGGGACCCGCACAAGCGGCGGAGCAUGCGGAUUAAUUCGAUGCAACGCGAAGAACCUUACCAAGGCUUGACAUAUACGAGAACGGGCCAGAAAUGGUCAACUCUUUGGACACUCGUAAACAGGUGGUGCAUGGUUGUCGUCAGCUCGUGUCGUGAGAUGUUGGGUUAAGUCCCGCAACGAGCGCAACCCUCGUUCUAUGUUGCCAGCACGUAAUGGUGGGAACUCAUGGGAUACUGCCGGGGUCAACUCGGAGGAAGGUGGGGAUGACGUCAAAUCAUCAUGCCCCUUAUGUCUUGGGCUUCACGCAUGCUACAAUGGCCGGUACAAAGGGCUGCAAUACCGUAAGGUGGAGCGAAUCCCAAAAAGCCGGUCCCAGUUCGGAUUGAGGUCUGCAACUCGACCUCAUGAAGUCGGAGUCGCUAGUAAUCGCAGAUCAGCAAC
RNAcentral lists this ribosomal RNA (1105 nucleotides) under Microbacterium sp. RNAcentral's name for it is "bacterial SSU rRNA". It matches the Rfam family "Bacterial small subunit ribosomal RNA", at positions 240 to 1356 of the family's 1533-position model. The record is from RNAcentral. Lineage: Bacteria; Bacillati; Actinomycetota; Actinomycetes; Micrococcales; Microbacteriaceae.